This 460-nucleotide ribosomal RNA is filed under the name uncultured bacterium. Its description in RNAcentral is "partial 16S ribosomal RNA". It matches the Rfam family "Bacterial small subunit ribosomal RNA", at positions 338 to 795 of the family's 1533-position model. The record is from RNAcentral.
CCUACGGGAGGCAGCAGUGAGGAAUAUUGGUCAAUGGGCUUACGCCUGAACCAGCCAAGUCGCGUGAGGGAAGACUGCCCUAUGGGUUGUAAACCUCUUUUGUCAGGGAGCAACGCCGGCUACGUGUAGCCGGACUGAGAGUACCUGAAGAAAAAGCAUCGGCUAACUCCGUGCCAGCAGCCGCGGUAAUACGGAGGAUGCGAGCGUUAUCCGGAUUUAUUGGGUUUAAAGGGUGCGUAGGCGGAAUGCCAAGUCAGCGGUAAAAUCGCGGGGCUCAACCUCGCUCCGCCGUUGAAACUGGCGGUCUUGAGUGGGCGAGAAGUAUGCGGAAUGCGUGGUGUAGCGGUGAAAUGCAUAGAGAUCACGCAGAACUCCGAUUGUGAAGGCAGCAUACCGGCGCCCAACUGACGCUGAAGCACGAAAGCGUGGGUAUCGAACAGGAUUAGAUACCCUUGUAGUC